RNAcentral lists this ribosomal RNA (497 nucleotides) under uncultured bacterium. RNAcentral's name for it is "partial 16S ribosomal RNA". It matches the Rfam family "Bacterial small subunit ribosomal RNA", at positions 28 to 507 of the family's 1533-position model. The record is from RNAcentral.
GAUGAACGCUGGCGGCGUGCCUAAUACAUGCAAGUCGAGCGAACGGACGAGAAGCUUGCUUCUCUGAUGUUAGCGGCGGACGGGUGAGUAACACGUGGAUAACCUACCUAUAAGACUGGGAUAACUUCGGGAAACCGGAGCUAAUACCGGAUAAUAUUUUGAACCGCAUGGUUCAAAAGUGAAAGACGGUCUUGCUGUCACUUAUAGAUGGAUCCGCGCUGCAUUAGCUAGUUGGUAAGGUAACGGCUUACCAAGGCAACGAUGCAUAGCCGACCUGAGAGGGUGAUAGGCCACACUGGAACGGAGACACGGUCCAGACUCCUACGGGAGGCAGCAGUAGGGAAUCUGCCGCAAUGGGCGAAAGCCUGACGGAGCAACGCCGCGUGAGUGAUGAAGGUCUUCGGAUCGUAAAACUCUGUUAUUAGGGAAGAACAUAUGUGUAAGUAACUGUGCACAUCGUGACGGCACCUAAUCAGAAAGCCACGGCUAACUACGUG